Molecule: long non-coding RNA, 1138 nt
Organism: Polistes canadensis
Lineage: Eukaryota; Metazoa; Arthropoda; Insecta; Hymenoptera; Vespidae
Exons: 2
Source: RefSeq, a predicted model, not a curated record
UUUAAUCUGAAAUGUUAUUAAAUAGUUUUAUUAUUCUUUUUAUGCACAUGCUCAACGUUCGGAAGGUCCUGUAAACAACUUUCACCAAAAGAACUUUAACAGAGGACAAUGACUCAUUUCAACGGUGGAUUUCGAGGAGACAAUUUUACUCUCGAAGUCAUCAUUGCACAGGAGCAUCAAAAUAAUUACAUAAAAUAGAUAAAAAUAAUAAAAAAUCAAAACGUUUUAAUUUAAAAUUUUAUUAAUUAGGUGCAUUAUUUUAUUGGUGGAUAGGAAACAUUAAAAAAUAAUAUACCACCACUAUCUUCUCAUACUAACGUUAGGAGGCGUUAACUGAACUAACAGCUACAACCAUACAUAUCUUCUUUGUUUGAUUCCAUGGCUUCUUCCGGAUGCACGCACAUCAGCUUGACUUGGGUUUUAGCAUCAUAUACACAGUGUUUAAAUCAGUACGGUUUAGCGGGUUUUUUUUUUUUUUUUAAUGAAUGUACGUAAGUAUUCUUCCUGUUCGUAAUCUACGAGCGUAUGAAACUCGAAUUUCACUAAUAACGUAUUGCUACACUUGGUUCUUACGGCGAUAAUAUCAACCUGGAUGUGAUAAUGUAUCGUACAAAGCUGGAAAUGAAGAAAUGCAAUUAAUGUACACUCUUACUAAUGAUAAUGCAACGAAGCAGGACGUCUUUAUGCGGCUUUUUUUCUACUACACGUGUUCCAGACGAAGAGAAAUUUCAACUAUUAGAUAAAUAUCUACAAUAUAUCUAUUCAUUUGAAUUAAAAAUAUUUUACGCCGAACCUGUUAAUUAGAAUGACAGUAAUCCCUCAGAGAUUCUUACAGAAUAAUAGAAAUUACUCUAGGUAGAGAUCGGUAAUUAUAAAUCGUGUGUUAAUUUUGACAUUCUUCAAUUAAAAAUAAUAAUACAAAAUAUAAAAUAACAAGUCGAGAAAUUCGUUAUGUGAUUGAUUUAUUACUAUAUCUUAAAUCAUAUCAAAUAAUAAUGUGGUAAUAUACAUUUUCUAUAUAAAUUUUUUUGUUUUAAUAAAUCAUUUGUCGAAUUACUCAACAAAGACAACAAUACAAUUAUAAUGUACAGAUGAAGAUGAAAAUAUAUUGAAUUACUCCGAUGAAUCUUCAAUAGUA